RNAcentral lists this transfer RNA (74 nucleotides) under Candidatus Elulimicrobiales bacterium. RNAcentral's name for it is "tRNA-Gln". It matches the Rfam family "tRNA". From Rfam's summary of the family: Transfer RNA (tRNA) molecules are approximately 80 nucleotides in length. The record is from RNAcentral. RNAcentral also lists the same sequence under 1 other name. Lineage: Bacteria; Candidatus Elulimicrobiota; Candidatus Elulimicrobia; Candidatus Elulimicrobiales.
UGCCCAUUCGUCUAAUGGUAGGACAACAGUUUCUGGCACUGUUAAUUGAGGUUCGACUCCUUGAUGGGCAGCCA